Molecule: ribosomal RNA, 700 nt
Filed under: uncultured bacterium
Lineage: Bacteria
Description: bacterial SSU rRNA
Rfam family: Bacterial small subunit ribosomal RNA
Source: RNAcentral
AGUGGCGAACGGGUGAGUAAUGCAUCGGAACGUGCCCAGUCGUGGGGGAUAACGCAGCGAAAGCUGUGCUAAUACCGCAUACGAUCUAUGGAUGAAAGCGGGGGACCGUAAGGCCUCGCGCGAUUGGAGCGGCCGAUGUCAGAUUAGGUAGUUGGUGGGGUAAAGGCUCACCAAGCCGACGAUCUGUAGCUGGUCUGAGAGGACGACCAGCCACACUGGGACUGGGACACGGCCCAGACUCCUACGGGAGGCAGCAGUGGGGAAUUUUGGACAAUGGGCGCAAGCCUGAUCCAGCAAUGCCGCGUGCAGGAAGAAGGCCUUCGGGUUGUAAACUGCUUUUGUACGGAACGAAACGGUCUGGGUUAAUACCCUGGGCUAAUGACGGUACCGUAAGAAUAAGCACCGGCUAACUACGUGCCAGCAGCCGCGGUAAUACGUAGGGUGCAAGCGUUAAUCGGAAUUACUGGGCGUAAAGCGUGCGCAGGCGGUUUUGUAAGACAGGCGUGAAAUCCCCGGGCUCAACCUGGGAAUUGCGCUUGUGACUGCAAAGCUGGAGUGCGGCAGAGGGGGAUGGAAUUCCGCGUGUAGCAGUGAAAUGCGUAGAUAUGCGGAGGAACACCGAUGGCGAAGGCAAUCCCCUGGGCCUGCACUGACGCUCAUGCACGAAAGCGUGGGGAGCAAACAGGAUUAGAUACCCUGG